Molecule: ribosomal RNA, 512 nt
Filed under: Enterococcus faecium
Lineage: Bacteria; Bacillati; Bacillota; Bacilli; Lactobacillales; Enterococcaceae
Description: bacterial SSU rRNA
Rfam family: Bacterial small subunit ribosomal RNA
Source: RNAcentral
UUCGGGGACAAGGUGACAGGUGGUGCAUGGUUGUCGUCAGCUCGUGUCGUGAGAUGUUGGGUUAAGUCCCGCAACGAGCGCAACCCUUGUCGUUAGUUACUACCAUUAAGUUGAGGACUCUAGCGAGACUGCCUGGGUUAACCAGGAGGAAGGUGGGGAUGACGUCAAAUCAUCAUGCCCCUUAUGUGUAGGGCUACACACGUGCUACAAUGGCUGGUACAGAGAGAUGCAAUACCGCGAGGUGGAGCCAAACUUAAAAACCAGUCUCAGUUCGGAUUGUAGGCUGAAACUCGCCUACAUGAAGCUGGAGUUACUAGUAAUCGCGAAUCAGAAUGUCGCGGUGAAUACGUUCCCGGGUCUUGUACACACCGCCCGUCACACCAUGAGAGUUGGCAAUACCCGAAGUCCGUGAGCUAACCGCAAGGAGGCAGCGGCCGAAGGUAGGGUCAGCGAUUGGGGUGAAGUCGUAACAAGGUAGCCGUAGGAGAACCUGCGGCUGGAUCACCUCCUUU